UGUGAAGCCGGUUCUGGCCACUAGGGUGCAU
Molecule: non-coding RNA, 31 nt
Filed under: Homo sapiens (human)
Lineage: Eukaryota; Metazoa; Chordata; Mammalia; Primates; Hominidae
Source: RNAcentral